UGGAUUUUCAAUUAUUAAACCAUCCCUGUAUCCCUGGAAUGAAGCCUACUUGAUCAUGACAGAUAGCAGGAGAUUUCAACACCCCACUCUCAUCAAUGGACAGAUCAUGGAAACAGAAAUUAAACAGAGAUGUACAGAAACUAACAGAAGUUAUGAACCAAAUGGAUUUAACAGAUAUUUAUAGACCAUUCCAUUCUAAAACAAAAGGAUAUACCUUCUUCCCAGCACCUCAUGGAACCUUCUCCAAAAUUGACCAUAUAAUUGGUUAUAAAACAAGCCUCAACAGAUACAGGAAGAUAGAAAUAAUUCCAUACAUCCUAUCAUAUCACCAGGCACUAAGACUGGUCUUCAAUAACAAUAAUGACAGAAAACCCACAUGUACAUGGAAGCUGAACAAUGCUCUUCUCAAUGACAACCUGGUCAAGGAAGAAAUAAAGAAAGUAAUU
Molecule: long non-coding RNA, 446 nt
Filed under: Rattus norvegicus (Norway rat)
Lineage: Eukaryota; Metazoa; Chordata; Mammalia; Rodentia; Muridae
Description: long non-coding RNA NONRATT024268
Source: RNAcentral